AAAUGAAAAUUGGUCACAAAUCUUUCCAAAUGGGGCCAUGUAUUACACCCAUGUGCAAGUCCCUCAAUUUUGAUCCAAAUGAGAUAAUCUUGGACUUUUUGGAAAGAUGAGAUCAAGGGGAACAACUUUUAUAUUGAACACAUUUCCAUUUGGAGCUUGGACCAUGAUGAAUUUUGAGUUGGAAGUUUGGAAAAUCAAACAUAUUUGAAAAUUUUCUAAGUACCAAGCCAAAUG
This 234-nucleotide long non-coding RNA is filed under the name Lathyrus oleraceus (garden pea). RNAcentral describes it as "Pisum sativum (pea) long non-coding RNA (PSAT_LNC019982)". The record is from RNAcentral. Lineage: Eukaryota; Viridiplantae; Streptophyta; Magnoliopsida; Fabales; Fabaceae.